AAUCCAUAGGUUAAUGAGGCGAACCGGGGGAACUGAAACAUCUAAGUACCCCGAGGAAAAGAAAUCAACCGAGAUUCCCCCAGUAGCGGCGAGCGAACGGGGAGGAGCCCAGAGCCUGAAUCAGCAUGUGUGUUAGUGGAAGCGUCUGGAAAGGCGCGCGAUACAGGGUGACAGCCCCGUACACAAAAGCGCAUGUGCUGUGAGCUCGAUGAGUAGGGCGGGACACGUGGUAUCCUGUCUGAAUAUGGGGGGACCAUCCUCCAAGGCUAAAUACUCCUGACUGACCGAUAGUGAACCAGUACCGUGAGGGAAAGGCGAAAAGAACCCCGGCGAGGGGAGUGAAAAAGAACCUGAAACCGUGUACGUACAAGCAGUGGGAGCACCCUUUGGGUGUGACUGCGUACCUUUUGUAUAAUGGGUCAGCGACUUAUAUUCUGUAGCAAGGUUAACCGAAUAGGGGAGCCGGAGGGAAACCGAGUCUUAACCGGGCGUUAAGUUGCAGGGUAUAGACCCGAAACCCGGUGAUCUAGCCAUGGGCAGGUUGAAGGUUGGGUAACACUAACUGGAGGACCGAACCGACUAAUGUUGAAAAAUUAGCGGAUGACCUGUGGCUGGGGGUGAAAGGCCAAUCAAACCGGGAGAUAGCUGGUUCUCCCCGAAAGCUAUUUAGGUAGCGCCUCGUGAAUUCAUCUCCGGGGGUAGAGCACUGUUUCGGCUAGGGGGCCAUCCCGGCUUACCAACCCGAUGCAAACUGCGAAUACCGGAGAAUGUUAUCACGGGAGACACACGGCGGGUGCUAACGUCCGUCGUGAAGAGGGAAACAACCCAGACCGCCAGCUAAGGUCCCAAAGUCAUGGUUAAGUGGGAAACGAUGUGGGAAGGCCCAGACAGCCAGGAUGUUGGCUUAGAAGCAGCCAUCAUUUAAAGAAAGCGUAAUAGCUCACUGGUCGAGUCGGCCUGCGCGGAAGAUGUAACGGGGCUAAACCAUGCACCGAAGCUGCGGCAGCGACACU
This 1013-nucleotide ribosomal RNA is filed under the name Salmonella enterica. RNAcentral's name for it is "partial 23S ribosomal RNA". It matches the Rfam family "Bacterial large subunit ribosomal RNA", at positions 161 to 1215 of the family's 2925-position model. Lineage: Bacteria; Pseudomonadati; Pseudomonadota; Gammaproteobacteria; Enterobacterales; Enterobacteriaceae. The record is from RNAcentral. RNAcentral also lists the same sequence under 1 other name.